Molecule: ribosomal RNA, 298 nt
Filed under: uncultured bacterium
Lineage: Bacteria
Description: partial 16S ribosomal RNA
Rfam family: Bacterial small subunit ribosomal RNA
Source: RNAcentral
ACGCCGCGUGAACGAAGAAGGCCGUGAGGUUGUAAAGUUCUUUUCGGGAGGGGGAACAACCGUGGCAGGGAAUGGCCGCGGGAUGACGUGAAUCCCGGAAUAAGCCCCGGCUAACUACGUGCCAGCAGCCGCGGUAACACGUAGGGGGCGAGCGUUGUUCGGAAUCAUUGGGCGUAAAGGGCGUGCAGGCGGUCCUGCAAGUCCGGCGUGAAAGACCCCGGCCCAACCGGGGGGGCGCGCUGGAAACUGGAGGGCUUGAGUACAGGAGGGGAUGCCGGAAUUCCAGGUGUAGGGGUGA